AAUAAUAUCAGUUUUCGUUUUUUUCGUAUUCAACGUUUAAUCAUUCGUCUUAUUUAAAAAAAAUUAUGAUUAAUAUUUUUAUUAUUACUAGAUAAUAAAAUAUGAACAGUACUUUAUAUGUGACUAAUUUUUUUAAGUUUUUUUAUAAAUUUUUCAAAUAAGACGAAUAGUCAAACGUUGAACACAGAAAAAC
RNAcentral lists this microRNA precursor (193 nucleotides) under Oryza brachyantha (malo sina). RNAcentral's name for it is "MIR812 microRNA precursor family". The stretch from base 21 to 193 matches the Rfam family "MIR812 microRNA precursor family", at positions 19 to 190 of the family's 205-position model. Lineage: Eukaryota; Viridiplantae; Streptophyta; Magnoliopsida; Poales; Poaceae. The record is from Rfam by way of RNAcentral.